AUGUCGAUCUGCGCGAGGAUGGACGCGCCGGGCGGCGGCGCGCUCGGGAAGCGGAAGGAGCGGGAAUACUCGUCUUCGUCGGAGCAGCGGCCGCCGCUGUUCCCGCCGCCGCCGCCCGUGAGACAGGAGCUGCUGAGGAACAAGCCGCACCAACUGUCGCGGUUCGCCAACAAGCCCCCCAUGCCGACGCCUCCUCCCCAGGGCGGGAGCAGCAAGCUGCUGGCCGGGUACCUGGCGCACGAGUUCCUCAAGUUCGGCACGCUCCUCGGGGAGCGGCCCCCCGCGCCGGGCCGGAAGGAGACCGCCACGCCCACGCCCGCACCAACACCCGACCCCGCGAGGAGGUACGCCGAGGCGUCGAUGCUGCUCAUGGCGGGCGGCACCCGCAUCCCCGGGGUUUUCAACCCGACGCAGCUCGGCUGCUGGCUCCGGAUUAAGGAUUGA
Molecule: ribosomal RNA, 444 nt
Filed under: Triticum aestivum (bread wheat)
Lineage: Eukaryota; Viridiplantae; Streptophyta; Magnoliopsida; Poales; Poaceae
Description: partial small subunit ribosomal RNA
Source: RNAcentral